RNAcentral lists this ribosomal RNA (253 nucleotides) under uncultured bacterium. RNAcentral's name for it is "partial 16S ribosomal RNA". It matches the Rfam family "Bacterial small subunit ribosomal RNA", at positions 524 to 776 of the family's 1533-position model. The record is from RNAcentral.
UACGUAGGGGGCAAGCGUUGUCCGGAUUCAUUGGGCGUAAAGAGCGUGUAGGCGGCCAGGUAGGUCGGUUGUGAAAACUGGAGGCUCAACCUUCAGAGGUCGACCGAAACCAUCUGGCUAGAGUCCGGGAGAGGAGAGUGGAAUUCCUGGUGUAGCGGUGAAAUGCGCAGAUACCAGGAAGAACACCCGUGGCGAAAGCGGCUCUCUGGAACGGUACUGACGCUGAGACGCGAAAGCGUGGGGAGCGAACAGG